ACUCCUACGGGAGGCAGCAGUGGGGAAUUUUGGACAAUGGGCGCAAGCCUGAUCCAGCCAUGCCGCGUGCGGGAAGAAGGCCUUCGGGUUGUAAACCGCUUUUGUCGGGGAAGAAACGCUCUGGGCUAAUACCCUGGGGUAAUGACGGUACCCGAAGAAUAAGCACCGGCUAACUACGUGCCAGCAGCCGCGGUAAUACGUAGGGUGCAAGCGUUAAUCGGAAUUACUGGGCGUAAAGCGUGCG
RNAcentral lists this ribosomal RNA (244 nucleotides) under uncultured bacterium. RNAcentral's name for it is "partial 16S ribosomal RNA". It matches the Rfam family "Bacterial small subunit ribosomal RNA", at positions 335 to 571 of the family's 1533-position model. The record is from RNAcentral.